GUAGGGAAUCUUCCGCAAUGGACGAAAGUCUGACGGAGCAACGCCGCGUGAGUGAAGAAGGUUUUCGGAUCGUAAAACUCUGUUGUAAGGGAAGAACACGUACCAGUUAACUGCUGGUACCUUGACGGUACCUUACCAGAAAGCCACGGCUAACUACGUGCCAGCAGCCGCGGUAAUACGUAGGUGGCAAGCGUUGUCCGGAAUUAUUGGGCGUAAAGCGCGCGCAGGCGGUCCCUUAAGUCUGAUGUGAAAGCCCACGGCUCAACCGUGGAGGGUCAUUGGAAACUGGGGGACUUGAGUGCAGAAGAGGAAAGUGGAAUUCCAUGUGUAGCGGUGAAAUGCGUAGAGAUGUGGAGGAACACCAGUGGCGAAGGCGACUUUCUGGUCUGUAACUGACGCUGAGGCGCGAAAGCGUGGGGAGCAAACAGGAUUAGAUACCCUAGUAGUCC
RNAcentral lists this ribosomal RNA (449 nucleotides) under uncultured bacterium. RNAcentral's name for it is "bacterial SSU rRNA". It matches the Rfam family "Bacterial small subunit ribosomal RNA", at positions 354 to 796 of the family's 1533-position model. The record is from RNAcentral.